UGCUGAAAAGAUAGAGCACCAGACUACGAAUCUGGGGGUCGGGGGUUCGAAUCCUCCCCGGUGCGCCA
This 68-nucleotide transfer RNA is filed under the name Labrenzia sp. EL_159. RNAcentral describes it as "tRNA-Arg". It matches the Rfam family "tRNA", at positions 9 to 71 of the family's 71-position model. From Rfam's summary of the family: Transfer RNA (tRNA) molecules are approximately 80 nucleotides in length. Lineage: Bacteria; Pseudomonadati; Pseudomonadota; Alphaproteobacteria; Hyphomicrobiales; Stappiaceae. The record is from RNAcentral. RNAcentral also lists the same sequence under 1 other name.